This 547-nucleotide long non-coding RNA is filed under the name Vulpes vulpes (red fox). Its description in RNAcentral is "lncRNA (ENSVVUG00000014490.1)". The record is from RNAcentral. Lineage: Eukaryota; Metazoa; Chordata; Mammalia; Carnivora; Canidae.
GGCUAUGGACCUAGGACUUCCUGCCCCAGGGAGACAAGUACAAGAGCAGCAGCAGAUGUAAUCAGGACCCCGUCUGGGGUAACAGCCUGGAGCAGAUGCUGUCUAUGAGUGGUCUCUAUGUGCCAGCUGUGGCAGGGUGAGUGGGUGGGCUGAUUAUGAUUAAAUACAGGAUUGAGACAGGCUCACACAUAUGGGAAAUGUUAAGCUGGUUUACUUGCUGUAUUUCUGGUCUAGCCUCAAAUUUUCUCCAGCUGGACACUUCUGCAUAGUGAGAAAGCACAAAUCCACUUGGUGGAACACUGGAACAUCCUCAAACUUCCGGACUGACAUAGAUAAUCCAGCGUGAGGUGAUGGAACAUUAGGGAACUCAGCUAUGCAGAGUUGGGGAGGCAGAGAUGGAAGAGAUGAAAAAGGAAACGAAGUUCAGAUAUCCAGAUGUUCUGAGCUGUGGACAGAAGCUGACAUUCCCAAACAACCAUAUUCUGACCCCAUCCAGAUGUUCUGGCCUUACUUCUCAGGACAAUAUCCUCUGCUGAACUACCUAUAG